RNAcentral lists this long non-coding RNA (1509 nucleotides) under Homo sapiens (human). The stretch from base 1144 to 1220 matches the Rfam family "Small nucleolar RNA SNORD47". Lineage: Eukaryota; Metazoa; Chordata; Mammalia; Primates; Hominidae. The record is from RNAcentral.
GUCUUUUCGAGGUAGGAGUCGACUCCUGUGAGGUAUGGUGCUGGGUGCAGAUGCAGUGUGGCUCUGGAUAGCACCUUAUGGACAGUUGUGUCCCCAAGGAAGGAUGAGAAUAGCUACUGAAGUCCUAAAGAGCAAGCCUAACUCAAGCCAUUGGCACACAGGCAUUAGACAGAAAGCUGGAAGUUGAAAUGGUGGAGUCCAACUUGCCUGGACCAGCUUAAUGGUUCUGCUCCUGGUAACGUUUUUAUCCAUGGAUGACUUGCUUGGGUAAGGACAUGAAGACAGUUCCUGUCAUACCUUUUAAAGGUAUGGAGAGUCGGCUUGACUACACUGUGUGGAGCAAGUUUUAAAGAAGCAAAGGUAUAGCAGUUCCAAGUAUUUUUUUUUUUUUUUUAGACAAGAGUCUAGCUCUUGCCCAGAAUGGAGUGCAGCGGCACUAUCAGUUCACUGCAACCUCUGCCUCCCAGGUUCAAGGAAUUCUCCUGCCUCAGCCUCUUGAGUAGCUGGGAUUACAGGCAUGUGACACCAUGCCUGGCUAAUUUUGUACAGCUAUGUUGUCCAGGCUGGUCUCGAACUCUUGACCUCAAGUGAUACUGCCCGCACUGACCUCCCAAAGUGCUGGGAUUACAGGCGUGAGCCACCAUGCCCCGCCUCAAGUCUGGUUUUUAAGUGUUGUAAAGCCGAUACAAUGAUGAUAACAUAGUUCAGCAGACUAACGCUGAUGAGCAAUAUUAAGUCUUUCGCUCCUAUCUGAUGUAUCUGGCGGUAACAUUCUAGUUUAUGCCCCGAAAAGGGGAAUAUAGCCAUUCUAUAAUGUUUGGAGAUUUUGGAUUACUCCUAAUUGUAUGCAAGUUGUCUUACUGUGUAUUGUCCCUUAAUUUCAGGACUCAGAAUUCAUGAUUGAAGAAAUGCAGGUUAGUUUAAACUUUGAAGGAAAUUUUUAAGGUGGCAAAAGGUUUUGGUGGCAUAUACACCUUAAUCUGUAGAUGGGAGUGAUUAGCUGUUUAAAAGUUAAAAUGUGACUGAGAAGGAAAUUGAGUAGGGCAAAUUUUAAAUGGGUAUUAUUUUUCAUCUUCAAACAGGCAGACCUGUUAUCCUAAACUAGGUGAGUCAGCUUUUGGUACAUGUGAUGAUUUUCAGUGUAACCAAUGAUGUAAUGAUUCUGCCAAAUGAAAUAUAAUGAUAUCACUGUAAAACCGUUCCAUUUUGAUUCUGAGGUUACUCUACUAACAAGCAUCACACAUUUGUAUUUUGCCCUGAUUAAUAUGUUGGCUUCGCUUUCAGGGUUUUUAAUGACCACAACAAGCAAGCAUGCAGCUUACUGCUUGAAAGGGUCUUGCCUCACCCAAGCUAGAGUGCAGUGGCCUUUGAAGCUUACUACAGCCUCAAACUUCUGGGCUCAAGUGAUCCUCAGCCUCCCAGUGGUCUUUGUAGACUGCCUGAUGGAGUCUCAUGGCACAAGAAGAUUAAAACAGUGUCUCCAAUUUUAAUAAAUUUUUGCAAUCCAUC